GCCGAGGUGGCGGAAUGGCAGACGCGCUAGUUUGAGGGGCUAGUGAACGCAUAGUUCGUCAGGGUUCAAGUCCCUGUCUCGGCACCA
This 87-nucleotide transfer RNA is filed under the name Thermodesulfobium narugense. RNAcentral describes it as "tRNA-Leu". It matches the Rfam family "tRNA". Rfam says of the family: Transfer RNA (tRNA) molecules are approximately 80 nucleotides in length. Their secondary structure includes four short double-helical elements and three loops (D, anti-codon, and T loops). The record is from RNAcentral. Lineage: Bacteria; Pseudomonadati; Thermodesulfobiota; Thermodesulfobiia; Thermodesulfobiales; Thermodesulfobiaceae.